GUAAGGAAUAUUGGUCAAUGGAGGCAACUCUGAACCAGCCAUGCCGCGUGAGGGAUGAAGGUCCUCUGGAUUGUAAACCUCUUUUAUUUGGGAAUAAACUCCCCGUUUCUACGGGGCUUGAAGGUACCAGAUGAAUAAGCACCGGCUAACUCCGUGCCAGCAGCCGCGGUAAUACGGAGGGUGCAAGCGUUAUCCGGAUUUACUGGGUUUAAAGGGUGCGUAGGUGGGUUGGGAAGUCAGUGGUGAAAUACUUUCGCUUAACGAAGGAACUGCCAUUGAUACUCUCAAUCUUGAAUGCAGUGGAGGCAGGCGGAAUGUGUCAUGUAGCGGUGAAAUGCUUAGAUAUGACACAGAACACCUAUUGCGAAGGCAGCUUGCUACUCUGCUAUUGACACUGAGGCACGAAAGCGUGGGGAUCAAACAGGAUUAGAUACCCGAGUAGUCC
RNAcentral lists this ribosomal RNA (445 nucleotides) under uncultured bacterium. RNAcentral's name for it is "bacterial SSU rRNA". It matches the Rfam family "Bacterial small subunit ribosomal RNA", at positions 354 to 796 of the family's 1533-position model. The record is from RNAcentral.